CACUUAUCGAGAGAGGUGGAGGGACUGGCCCUACGAAACCUCGGCGACAGACUUCUUACGUCGUACUGUGCCAAUUCCAUCAGACGUUUGUCUGAAAGAUGAGCU
This 105-nucleotide non-coding RNA is filed under the name Exiguobacterium oxidotolerans. Its description in RNAcentral is "SAM". It matches the Rfam family "SAM riboswitch aptamer (S box leader)". From Rfam's summary of the family: The SAM riboswitch is found upstream of a number of genes which code for proteins involved in methionine or cysteine biosynthesis in Gram-positive bacteria. The SAM riboswitch acts at the level of transcription termination control. RNAcentral also lists the same sequence under 1 other name. The record is from RNAcentral. Lineage: Bacteria; Bacillati; Bacillota; Bacilli; Caryophanales.